GGGGGCGUGGCGGAACUGGCAAACGUCGGGGAUUUAAAAUCCUCUGUCCGCAAGGACUUGCAGGUUCGAAUCCUGCCGCCCCUACCA
This 87-nucleotide transfer RNA is filed under the name Candidatus Rokuibacteriota bacterium. Its description in RNAcentral is "Candidatus Rokubacteria bacterium tRNA-Leu". It matches the Rfam family "tRNA". Rfam says of the family: Transfer RNA (tRNA) molecules are approximately 80 nucleotides in length. Their secondary structure includes four short double-helical elements and three loops (D, anti-codon, and T loops). Further hydrogen bonds mediate the characteristic L-shaped molecular structure. tRNAs have two regions of fundamental functional importance: the anti-codon, which is responsible for specific mRNA codon recognition, and the 3' end, to which the tRNAs corresponding amino acid is attached (by aminoacyl-tRNA synthetases). tRNAs cope with the degeneracy of the genetic code in two manners: having more than one tRNA (with a specific anti-codon) for a particular amino acid; and 'wobble' base-pairing, i.e. permitting non-standard base-pairing at the 3rd anti-codon position. Lineage: Bacteria; Candidatus Rokuibacteriota. RNAcentral also lists the same sequence under 1 other name. The record is from RNAcentral.